Molecule: small RNA, 353 nt
Filed under: Arabidopsis thaliana (thale cress)
Lineage: Eukaryota; Viridiplantae; Streptophyta; Magnoliopsida; Brassicales; Brassicaceae
Description: ATSL211010
Source: RNAcentral
UUUAAUUCAAUUUUACAAAAUUUGAUGGGUUAAUUGGGUAAACCAUUGAAACCAUUAACCAUUACAACCCAACUCAUUUUAGUCAUCAAACCAAUUGACUCAUCAACUCAUUUGACCCAUCAACUCAUUUGAGUCAAAAUUUUCAACUCAUUAGGGUUCAUGGGUUGAGUUGAGUUGAGUUGACACAUGAAUUUUGACCCAUUUUGACACCCCUAUCAAUACCUAACAAUCCAAUCAUAUUUAAAAUGAAUAUACAGUAGAAACUCUAUUAAUAAUGUUGGGACCAUGAAAUUUUAUUAAUUUAUAGUGAUAUUAAUUUAUCGUAUAAAUUAAUAUAUAUUAAUUUAUCGUAU